AGAUAUAAUUUACAUACCAUACAAUUUACCCUUUUAAAGUAAAUAUAUUCAGCAGUUUUUUGUAUAUUCACAAGAUGUAUAACCACCACCACUAUCUACAGAAAAUUUUCAUUACCCAAAAAGAAACUCCAUACCCAAGAGUGGUUACUUCCCCUUUCCUGGCAACCACUAAUCUAAUUUCUGUCCCUAUGGAUUUGCCUGUUCUGAACAUUUCACAUAAAGGGCAUCAUAUAUGUGGCUGUGUCUGACUUCUCUCACUAUGUUUUCGAGAUACAGCUAGGCGCGGUGGCUCACACCUGUAAUCCCAACACUUUGGGACUCUGAGGUGGGAGGAUCACCUGAGUGCUGGGACUACAGGCAUGAGCCACCGCACCCAGCCAGUUCCUCAUUCUUUUAUUGUCAAAUAAUAUUCUAUUGUGUGAAUGUACCAUUUUACUUAUCCAUUCAUCAGUUGAUAGUCAUUUGGCUUAUUUCCACUUUUUGACUAUUACAAAUAAAGCUGCUAUGAAUAUUCAUGUACACAUUUUUUGGAGAUGUAAGUUUUCAUGUGGACGUAAGUUUUCAUUUCUCACGAAUAUACACCUAGGAAUGGAAUUGCUGGCCCAUAUGGUAACUCUGUAGUUAACCUUUUGAGGAACUGUCAGACUAUUUUCCACAGCAGCUGCACCAUUUUACAUUCCUAUCAGCAACGUAUGGGGGUUCCAAUCUCUC
RNAcentral lists this long non-coding RNA (711 nucleotides) under Homo sapiens (human). RNAcentral describes it as "HSALNT0021412". Lineage: Eukaryota; Metazoa; Chordata; Mammalia; Primates; Hominidae. The record is from RNAcentral.